This 99-nucleotide non-coding RNA is filed under the name Syntrophothermus lipocalidus. RNAcentral's name for it is "TPP sequence". It matches the Rfam family "TPP riboswitch aptamer (THI element)". Rfam says of the family: Vitamin B(1) in its active form thiamin pyrophosphate (TPP) is an essential coenzyme that is synthesised by coupling of pyrimidine and thiazole moieties in bacteria. The previously detected thiamin-regulatory element, thi box was extended, resulting in a new, highly conserved RNA secondary structure, the THI element, which is widely distributed in eubacteria and also occurs in some archaea. Analysis of operon structures identified a large number of new candidate thiamin-regulated genes, mostly transporters, in various prokaryotic organisms. Lineage: Bacteria; Bacillati; Bacillota; Clostridia; Eubacteriales; Syntrophomonadaceae. The record is from RNAcentral. RNAcentral also lists the same sequence under 1 other name.
UUAACCCGGUGGGGGUGCCGACAAGGCUGAGAGGCAUGAUGCCAACCCUUAGAACCUGAUCUGGGUAAUGCCAGCGGAGGGAAACGGGGGACGAACAUC